Molecule: long non-coding RNA, 1946 nt
Organism: Gallus gallus (chicken)
Lineage: Eukaryota; Metazoa; Chordata; Aves; Galliformes; Phasianidae
Source: Ensembl
GAGCCGCCGCCAUGAUGGAGAGGCAGCAGGGGGCGCGCCGCGCUGCAAGCGGCUGAGAACACUUCGAAGCUGAAAAACCAAUUCUGAAGACAAGUGGAUCGGGAUGUAAGCUGUGGCUGGAUGUGGGAUGCACAGAGUGACAAAACCUCCAUCAAAGGAGCUCCUGCCAGUGUGGAUCCUGCUGAUCUGAGGAAAGCUUUUAAAUGGAGAGCGUAUUAGUUCUGGCCUAUUUUGUCAGCAUAUCAGAGCGGGAGAAGUGACCUCUUGCAAAGAGGUGAACACCUUGUCUCCAGCUGGAUAGGCAGCAUGGCUUUGGGAACAAGGCAGAAGGACAUUGCAAUGAGGCAUCCUAAUUGCACAUUGAACUGUUGGCUUUGCUGUGGUUUUAGCUUGCAAGCCUAAAGCGAUGCACAGUGCUGUGGAUUUGGGGCAAAGACACAAGUGGAGGUGCAGCUUCCCCUCGAACUCAGCAGGAUUUUUCACAUGGAUCACACAGAAGGACCUCAGAGCUAGCAUGAGCCUUGCUUUAUUUUCUCAGGAUUAGUUACUCAGUGAUAAUACUCAUUUUGAAGGAAGAUAAUUAACAAAUUAUGGGGACUUUUAAUAAAAAGCAACAGCUACUUUAUGCAGGCUAGUUUUGCAGUCUUUGGGUUGGCUUUUCUUCAUUUUGAUGCAGUCACAUGCAGCAAUGCCUGCACAAAGUGACUGCAGUUUCUAAUUCUUAAAUUUCCUUAAGGGUUAUUCUUGACAAAUGACUUCUUACUACAGAAUGGAAAGCUUGAUUUAGUUGUGUGUUCGCACUUUGCCCCUAAUAUCAAUGUCAAUCUAUAUGUGCAGAUCAGUAUGCAUCUCCACACAAACCGGAAUUUGAAUACAUUGAAGCAAUUAGUCACAAGGGAUCAUUCCAAAUUUCUCCUUUUUACGAUGCUGUAAAAUUUGUUCCAAAAUGGUUUGGUCUCUUCCCUUAAAGGAGAAUUUAGCUGCAGAAAUAUGUGAAGGGAUAUGUGCAGUGUUUACGUAUUAGGCUAGUACAGCGCAUGCAAAGAACACGCAUUGUUUUUUAUCACUAAUUGGUUGUUUGUAUGGCUCUUUCCUUAGAGGAGGCAGAGGUUCAUUAUGACAGUACGUUCACGUAUCCAGAGUUACAGAUACUUUUGAGAGGAAAGUUGUUUUAAUUAGGAGCUCUAGCAAUCUAUUAGGACAGCAGCCAGGUGUCAUGAGUAGAGUAUGGAUUUUUAGUGUGCUAGUAUUCUCUGGUAGCUACUGAUAUGCUUGGCUUCACCUCUUGAUUAAUAUGAGACUUUCUGCCACACAGCAAACUUUGUAUGAUGGGACAGCAGCAUGUCUAUGAAUAACUAGCUGACGAGCUGUACGUUCACUCCUUUGCUUGUGAUAAAUUUUAAAGGUGACCAUAGCCUUACUGAAUCACUUCACUGAUACCAUGCUGAAUCUAAAUCAUUCAGUUAACUCUUAUUUCACUUUCAUUUGGGUUCUUCUUGGUUUACAUUUUAUAGUACUGAAUGUUUUGAAGAAAAUGAACAUCUAUUGUGUUAUCUGACUGGGAAAUGAAAUUUUCUGUCUUAAAAGAUUGUUCCGUGAUUCCCUGAGGCAAUGAGCCAUUUUAGUUCUGGGUAAUCUCUUUAGUACUGUGCUGUUGUUUUUUUUUUUCCUUUACUGUCAUGCAGCAUUUUGUGCAGAAUCUGUUCAAACAUUGUUUUUUUCAUAUGAUUGAUUUAAUUAAAAUGUUUGUGAUUGACAGUGACUGUACAUAUUUCAGAGCAAAUAACUGAUGUCUGUGCUACUUUGGUUUUAUCUCAGCAGUGCAGGAGGAAAAAAAAUAAUAAAAAGAAGGAUGUGGUUUCAUGUUAGUCACCCAUCAGUCUUAGGUUCAUCUCUUAUGGGAAGCUGUUGUUUCCACAAAAAGUAUAAGCAUAAAAAGCUCUUUU